This 429-nucleotide ribosomal RNA is filed under the name Bacteroidota bacterium. RNAcentral's name for it is "Bacteroidetes bacterium partial 16S ribosomal RNA". It matches the Rfam family "Bacterial small subunit ribosomal RNA", at positions 355 to 776 of the family's 1533-position model. The record is from RNAcentral. Lineage: Bacteria; Pseudomonadati; Bacteroidota.
UAGGGAAUCUUCGGCAAUGGGGGGAACCCUGACCGAGCAACGCCGCGUGAGUGAAGAAGGUUUUCGGAUCGUAAAGCUCUGUUGUUAAGGAAGAACGAGUGUGAGAAUGGAAAGUUCAUGCUGUGACGGUACUUAACCAGAAAGGGACGGCUAACUACGUGCCAGCAGCCGCGGUAAUACGUAGGUCCCGAGCGUUGUCCGGAUUUAUUAGGCGUAAAGCGAGCGCAGGCGGUUAGAAAAGUCUGAAGUGAAAGGCAGUGGCUCAACCAUUGUAGGCUUUGGAAACUGUUUAACGUGAGUGCAGAAGGGGAGAGUGGAAUUCCAUGUGUAGCGGUGAAAUGCGUAGAUAUAUGGAGGAACACCGGUGGCGAAAGCGGCUCUCUGGUCUGUAACUGACGCUGAGGCUCGAAAGCGUGGGGAGCGAACAGG